Molecule: non-coding RNA, 24 nt
Filed under: Arabidopsis thaliana (thale cress)
Lineage: Eukaryota; Viridiplantae; Streptophyta; Magnoliopsida; Brassicales; Brassicaceae
Source: RNAcentral
UGUGGGUUUCAAAUUUGAGGUGAG